UAAGGAGCACGAUUGGAAAUCGUGUGUAGGUCUGAAGCCUACCGGAGGUUCAAAUCCUCUUCUCUGCGCCA
This 71-nucleotide transfer RNA is filed under the name Inoviridae sp. RNAcentral's name for it is "tRNA-Ser". It matches the Rfam family "tRNA", at positions 19 to 71 of the family's 71-position model. From Rfam's summary of the family: Transfer RNA (tRNA) molecules are approximately 80 nucleotides in length. Their secondary structure includes four short double-helical elements and three loops (D, anti-codon, and T loops). The record is from RNAcentral. Lineage: Floreoviria; Loebvirae; Hofneiviricota; Faserviricetes; Tubulavirales; Inoviridae.